RNAcentral lists this transfer RNA (77 nucleotides) under Neotoma lepida (desert woodrat). It matches the Rfam family "tRNA". From Rfam's summary of the family: Transfer RNA (tRNA) molecules are approximately 80 nucleotides in length. Their secondary structure includes four short double-helical elements and three loops (D, anti-codon, and T loops). Lineage: Eukaryota; Metazoa; Chordata; Mammalia; Rodentia; Cricetidae. The record is from Rfam by way of RNAcentral.
GACAUUAUAGCUCAGAGGUAGAGCACUUGUCUAGCAUGCACAAGGCNCUGCCCUGGGUUCAAUUCCCAGUAUUGCCA